UGGCAGAUCAAGAGCGGGGAGAACGCCGCGAGCAUCGCGGGGGAGCUGGCGCGGCACACGCGGGGCCCGGUGUUCGCCGGCGACGUCAGCUCGGCCGUGCGGCUGCUCGAGCAGCUCCUCGACAUCCUGGACGCGCAGCUGCAGGCCCUGAGACCCCUGGAGAGGGAGUCAGCUGGAAAAAACUACAACAAGAUGCACAAGCGGGAACGAACCUGCAAGGACUACAUUAAGGCGGUGGUGGAGGCCGUGGACAAUCUGCUGCGUCCGGAGGCGCUGGAGUCGUGGCGGGACAUGAACGGCUCGGAGCAGGCGCACACGGCCACGAUGCUGCUGGACGUGCUGGAGGAGGGGGCCUUCCUGCUGGCAGACAACGUCAAGGAGCCGGCACGCUUCCUGGCGGCCCGGCAGA
Long non-coding RNA from Empidonax traillii (willow flycatcher), 409 nucleotides. RefSeq lists it as uncharacterized. The record is from RefSeq and is a predicted model, not a curated record. The transcript is spliced from 3 exons. Lineage: Eukaryota; Metazoa; Chordata; Aves; Passeriformes; Tyrannidae.